GAUGAACGCUGGCGGCGUGCCUAACACAUGCAAGUCGAACGGAGUCCAGCCUUUAAGGCCUUCGGGUCAAAGAGGGGAAGACUGAGUGGCGGACGGGUGAGUAACACGUGGGCAACCUGGCUCAUAGAGGGGGAUAACAGAGAGAAAUUUCUGCUAAUACCGCAUAAGCACACACUGCCGCAUGGCAGAGGGUGAAAAGAGAAUCGCUAUGAGAUGGACCCGCGUCUGAUUAGCCAGUUGGCAGGGUAAGAGCCUACCAAAGCGACGAUCAGUAGCCGAUCUGAGAGGAUGAGCGGCCACAUUGGGACUGAGACACGGCCCAAACUCCUACGGGAGGCAGCAGUGGGGGAUAUUGCACAAUGGGGGGAACCCUGAUGCAGCGACGCCGCGUGAGUGAAGAAGUAUUUCGGUAUGUAAAGCUCUAUCAGCAGGGAAGAUAAUGACAGUACCUGAAGAAGAAGCCCCGGCUAACUACGUG
RNAcentral lists this ribosomal RNA (478 nucleotides) under uncultured bacterium. RNAcentral describes it as "partial 16S ribosomal RNA". It matches the Rfam family "Bacterial small subunit ribosomal RNA", at positions 28 to 507 of the family's 1533-position model. The record is from RNAcentral.